GAAUAUUAUCAGUCAUUAACAGCCACAUUUGAAGGGAAAUGAACUCCAUCUACAGCUUCAAGGAUAAAAAGCUUAGCCAAAGCAUGGGCAAGAACCACUGCCCUGUCUUUUAAUAAAUUCGAAAGAGCACAACUGAAAAUUUAAAAAAAUAGCAAAGCAUUCAUCAAUAGAGGCACCGAAAGAUGUAACAGAUGGGCUUCUCUCGCGAAGAGCUUGGAUAACCUGAAUACUAUAUCUCCCUCUAAAAUGAUCGACGACGACUGGUUUAUUCGUGGGAGGUUAAUCGCUUGAGGUUAAUUAAUAUUGUUGUUUUCACUUUCAAAGAGUAACAAUAAUUGAAUGAGUUUUGUAUUAGCUCACAACUCGUAUUACAGUAUAUGAUAUGCUAUUAAAAUGAUUUAUUUUGCGAUUAUGAGUGCAACUUGAGUUUUUGUGUUGCCACUUCAUGAUCAUAAUAUAGAUCCAUAAAUUAGAGAAUAUUUCCUCUUACAUAUAUUCAGAAGUCUAUAUCAUAUGUCACUUUUACUUGUGUGUUUAAGAUAUAUCCACC
RNAcentral lists this long non-coding RNA (550 nucleotides) under Erythranthe guttata (spotted monkey flower). Its description in RNAcentral is "long non-coding RNA (EGUT_LNC000897)". The record is from RNAcentral. Lineage: Eukaryota; Viridiplantae; Streptophyta; Magnoliopsida; Lamiales; Phrymaceae.